CCUACGGGAGGCUGCAGUGGGGAAUUUUGGACAAUGGGCGCAAGCCUGAUCCAGCCAUGCCGCGUGAGUGAAGAAGGCCUUCGGGUUGUAAAGCUCUUUCGGCGGGGAAGAAAUUGCACGGGUUAAUACCCUGUGUAGAUGACGGUACCCGAAUAAGAAGCACCGGCUAACUACGUGCCAGCAGCCGCGGUAAUACGUAGGGUGCGAGCGUUAAUCGGAAUUACUGGGCGUAAAGCGUGCGCAGGCGGUUUGGUAAGUCAGAUGUGAAAUCCCCGGGCUCAACCUGGGAACUGCAUUUGAGACUGCCAGGCUGGAGUUUGGCAGAGGGGGGUGGAAUUCCACGUGUAGCAGUGAAAUGCGUAGAGAUGUGGAGGAACACCGAUGGCGAAGGCAGCCCCCUGGGCCAAUACUGACGCUCAUGCACGAAAGCGUGGGGAGCAAACAGGAUUAGAUACCCCUGUAGUC
Molecule: ribosomal RNA, 465 nt
Filed under: uncultured Rhodocyclaceae bacterium
Lineage: Bacteria; Pseudomonadati; Pseudomonadota; Betaproteobacteria; Rhodocyclales; Rhodocyclaceae
Description: bacterial SSU rRNA
Rfam family: Bacterial small subunit ribosomal RNA
Source: RNAcentral